This 253-nucleotide ribosomal RNA is filed under the name uncultured bacterium. RNAcentral's name for it is "partial 16S ribosomal RNA". It matches the Rfam family "Bacterial small subunit ribosomal RNA", at positions 524 to 776 of the family's 1533-position model. The record is from RNAcentral.
UACAGAGGGGGCAAGCGUUGUUCGGAAUUACUGGGCGUAAAGGGCGCGUAGGCGGCCUGUUAAGUCGAACGUGAAAUCCCUGGGCUCAACCCAGGAACUGCGUCCGAUACUGGCAGGCUUGAAUCCGGGAGAGGGAUGUGGAAUUCCAGGUGUAGCGGUGAAAUGCGUAGAUAUCUGGAGGAACACCGGUGGCGAAGGCGGCAUCCUGGACCGGUAUUGACGCUGAGGCACGAAAGCGUGGGGAGCAAACAGG